Molecule: long non-coding RNA, 931 nt
Filed under: Sorghum bicolor (sorghum)
Lineage: Eukaryota; Viridiplantae; Streptophyta; Magnoliopsida; Poales; Poaceae
Description: long non-coding RNA (SBIC_LNC015523)
Source: RNAcentral
GGCGAGCCUCGCCCUCAACAGCCGCGGCGGGCCUCGCCCCACCCCCAUCGGCGGCAGCACGGUCAGGUCAGCGCGCUCGGUGGCCCUCCUCCUCUAGCAGAUCCAGUCGCGAGCGGCUCGCCUCGUGCCGUCGUGCGGAUGCGACUCGUCUGUGGUGCGGCUCCACCGCAAGCCAACGACGGCAGUUGCCUCUUUCCCUAGCGGAUCCACCGCACAAGGCUCGUCCUCUUCAUCAACUAUGGCGUCAGGGCUCCAUCCCACCACUGAUGGCGGCUCCGGCAUCAGCGGGCAGGCAGCCUUUGGCUGGCGGCAUGGCCAUCGGCGACUGGGGACAGAUCAGGUGGUGCUGACCCUCUUCCCUGAUCAAUGGUGGCCUUCCUUCCUCUGGCUACUACAGCGACCCUUCCUAUGCCAUGGUCUUUUUGAUGCAGGUGCCUUCCUAUGCUAUCGUGUGGCUGCAGCAAGUAUGAAUAUGCACCUCAUCUAACAUAUACUGUGUUUUGUUUUUCUUCAUGCGUUAUGUUUUUGUUUUUGCCUUUUGGAUGCCGAGCGUAGAGAUGGAUCGAUGUUCCACAAUCAUAGUUCAUGCCCACAAAUUUUAAUGUUUUCUGCUGCCUAUAUAUAUCUCGACUUUCUCAUGAAAUUGAAUCUAGCUGCAGAGAGCCAGAGAUGGAGCAGCAAAGGUUUCUGUGCAGUUUAUUUUUUAUUUUUAAGCUUCUUGAGCCAGCAACAUAUGUAUUCGUAUCAAAGUAAACAUGUAUGUACUCAUACUCCAUAUAACCAUGUAUAUAGUUUCAUACUCACAAAGAUGUAUAUACUCAUACUCCCACUGUAUAUGUAUAUGUAUAUGCUCAUAUUCCUUUUGUCUAAUUUGAUGCUUCUAUGUUGACGGAAAUACACAUCAAAGAAAUUUAGCAUGCAGGCAUAUAUG